Molecule: long non-coding RNA, 467 nt
Filed under: Homo sapiens (human)
Lineage: Eukaryota; Metazoa; Chordata; Mammalia; Primates; Hominidae
Description: long intergenic non-protein coding RNA 1490
Source: RNAcentral
AUGGCACUCCAGGAAGAUGAAGGUGGGAUUAUAGAAUGUAUGCAGCUGUAGUCUGGGAGGUCUGAUGUUAGGGAAAAAGAAGGAGGAAAGCAAGAUUAAAAAUCAUUCCUGGAAAUGCAAGAGAAAAUGUGCUGGAGUGGUGCUGUUAGUACCAGGGACACUGGACAAGAAAGAUAAGCAAGCCACUGCUGUCUGAUUCCUACAUAGCAGAUUGUUUUUCAGACCCCUAAUUCCAGCAGCCAGUUUGAAGACCCCCACAGAAGAGUGAGAUCAGCAGAAUACACCUCAUUCAUCUCCCUAUUCCAUGACUUCACUGUGCACUCUGGGACCAAUCAACAAUCUCCACACUUCAGUUCACUCCAAAACCCUUAAAAAUUUUAUCCUCAAAUUCUUCAGGGAGAUGGAUUUGAGGCUUCUUCCCAUCUCCUUGUUCAGUGACCCUACAAUUGAAUCUCUUUCUCUGCGCC